UUCUACUGCAUCUUUUAUAGGAAUGAAGCUGACCACUGCUUCUUGACUACUAGACAGAUAUCCAGUAUCAUUUUGCGCUGCAUUACUAUCUGUCCGGUCAAGUCCUGCGCAUUUAACUAGAAUCUCCCUAAUAAGAGGAUUACCGGAACAGGAAAACCUUCCCUGGAGCACUAAAAGUGUAUCGGCAGCAGCUAUUUGAGAGUCAGGAUAAUCUGAAUUUUUGAGACACAUAAUUAGAACAUCUACAGCUUCCUCUCUAUAGAUGCUCAUUUUCCUUGGUUCUGCAAGCAGAUCAAGUUGUAGAAGUAGGCCAGCCACAACAGGACACUGAUCAGGGAGAGCUGUCUGUAGG
This 352-nucleotide unclassified non-coding RNA is filed under the name Hevea brasiliensis (rubber tree). Lineage: Eukaryota; Viridiplantae; Streptophyta; Magnoliopsida; Malpighiales; Euphorbiaceae. The record is from RNAcentral.